Molecule: long non-coding RNA, 262 nt
Filed under: Lathyrus oleraceus (garden pea)
Lineage: Eukaryota; Viridiplantae; Streptophyta; Magnoliopsida; Fabales; Fabaceae
Description: Pisum sativum (pea) long non-coding RNA (PSAT_LNC008427)
Source: RNAcentral
UCAUGUGCACGCAUUGACUUGGAUCCAUGGUAGGCGCGCGCUUCGUGGCCUCUUGAUUUGCCAGCUCAAUUAAUGAGCUUAGAUCAGACGGUCCACGCUUUUUUACAAUUUCUAUUUUCUGUUUUAUUUUCCUUUUAUUUUCUUUAAUUCCAAUUAUCUUCCAAAAUUAAUAUCUCUCUCAUUUUUAAUCCAAAAAAUACGGAACCAAUUGCAUUAUUUCCCAAAUAAAUUCUAGUUUCUGUUUCUGAUUUUUAAUUUUUUU